RNAcentral lists this ribosomal RNA (253 nucleotides) under uncultured bacterium. RNAcentral describes it as "partial 16S ribosomal RNA". It matches the Rfam family "Bacterial small subunit ribosomal RNA", at positions 524 to 776 of the family's 1533-position model. The record is from RNAcentral.
UACGUAGGGUCCGAGCGUUGUCCGGAAUUAUUGGGCGUAAAGGGCUCGUAGGCGGUUUGUCGCGUCGGGAGUGAAAACUCAGGGCUCAACCCUGAGCGUGCUUCCGAUACGGGCAGACUAGAGGUAUGCAGGGGAGAACGGAAUUCCUGGUGUAGCGGUGGAAUGCGCAGAUAUCAGGAGGAACACCGGUGGCGAAGGCGGUUCUCUGGGCAUUACCUGACGCUGAGGCGCGAAAGCGUGGGGAGCAAACAGG